AUGAACGCUGGCGGCGUGCCUAAUACAUGCAAGUCGAGCGAACAGAUAAGGAGCUUGCUCCUUUGACGUUAGCGGCGGACGAGUGAGUAACACGUGGGUAACCUACCUAUAAGACUGGAAUAACUCCGGGAAACCGGGGCUAAUGCCGGAUAACAUUUAGAACCGCAUGGUUCUAAAGUGAAAGAUGGUUUUGCUAUCACUUAUAGAUGGACCCGCGCCGUAUUAGCUAGUUGGUAAGGUAACGGCUUACCAAGGCAACGAUACGUAGCCGACCUGAGAGGGUGAUCGGCCACACUGGAACUGAGACACGGUCCAGACUCCUACGGGAGGCAGCAGUAGGGAAUCUUCCGCAAUGGGCGAAAGCCUGACGGAGCAACGCCGCGUGAGUGAUGAAGGUCUUCGGAUCGUAAAACUCUGUUAUUAGGGAAGAACAAAUGUGUAAGUAACUGUGCACGUCUUGACGGUACCUAAUCAGAAAGCCACGGCUAACUACGUG
RNAcentral lists this ribosomal RNA (496 nucleotides) under uncultured bacterium. RNAcentral's name for it is "partial 16S ribosomal RNA". It matches the Rfam family "Bacterial small subunit ribosomal RNA", at positions 29 to 507 of the family's 1533-position model. The record is from RNAcentral.